Molecule: ribosomal RNA, 469 nt
Filed under: uncultured bacterium
Lineage: Bacteria
Description: partial 16S ribosomal RNA
Rfam family: Bacterial small subunit ribosomal RNA
Source: RNAcentral
GACGAACGCUGGCGGCGUGCUUAACACAUGCAAGUCGAACGGAAAGGCCCUGCUUGCCGGGUGCUCGAGUGGCGAACGGGUGAGUAACACGUGGGUGAUCUGCCCCUUACUUUGGGAUAAGCCUGGGAAACUGGGUCUAAUACUGGAUAGGGCCAUGCUGUAGGUGGUGUGGUGGAAAGAUUAGUUUCGGUAAGGGAUGAGCUCGCGGCCUAUCAGCUUGUUGGUGGGGUAAUGGCCUACCAAGGCGUCGACGGGUAGCCGGCCUGAGAGGGUGGACGGCCACAUUGGGACUGAGAUAUGGCCCAGACUCCUACGGGAGGCAGCAGUGGGGAAUAUUGCACAAUGGGCGCAAGCCUGAUGCAGCGACGCCGCGUGGGGGAUGACGGCCUUCGGGUUGUAAACUCCUUUCAGCCAUGACGAAGCCCUUGUGGUGACGGUAGUGGUAGAAGAAGCACCGGCUAACUACGUG